UCGUCGCCGCUCGUCGCGCCGCCGCCGCCGCCGCCGCCGCAGCGAACGGAACGCCGGAAUCGGACCGCCAUUCCCCCACUCCGACCGCGCGCCUCUGGUGGUGUCUCUUUGUCUUUCUUUCACGCGUAAGUACAUACACUCGCACUUUUCGCGACUCUCUUUUUCCGUACUGUUAUUCCCUGAAUUGCGCCUCUUUCGCAAUACUCGUCUAUGUUCUUGAAUAUUAACGAACCUCGUCUCUCGGUCUGCCUCUCUCUCUCUCUCUCUCUUCGGCUCUUCCUCCUGUCCGUCCGCCUCCCUCCAUCUUGACCCGUUAGAAAAGCAGCGUCCGCUCGUUCCGUUGUUCUCAAGUCGCGUCCCGGGACGAGUCGGUAAGUGGACGAGCGCGUUUACGCGCUUUAACCCGCGCUCUUGACUUUUCGCGAGGACAUUUCGCACGGGGCGCGCGAUCGCUCCGCGGUGUCGUCGUCGAGCGUGACGAUUCCGCUCGGGAGCGAAAUCGGAGAUCGCGGCGAUCAUCAGUUUCCGGCGCGAGGCCGGCGCCAAGCGGCGAAAUUCGAACCUCGAGGGGAGGCAAUAUGGCGUGCCGAGGAAGCCGACGAGUUUACGCGUUCGCACAUUUCACGGACGAGAAGGUAUCGGCUACUUACGAAGAGAUGCGCGUGCGAUCUCGAAGGAAGAGGCGAGCAAUCGCGCGAGAGAGAGGAAUGCGCGAGAUUGCUGAGGACGCUUCAGUCCGGCGUAUUUUUGGGAGACGGCAGCCGGAACGACGCAGACCUCUCCUAAGACAACGCGCUUCCUAGAAUGAGUCGGCCGCUGGGAUAACAACGGAUGGAGGCGCCGAGGAAGCAAAAUACAUCGACCUAACUACGAGGAGGACGAGAGGGAAGGGACGCGAAAAUGAUUGAAUCUGGACCGAUUGUUGCCGCCGGCUUGACUUUCUAGUCGCGAUUUAAAGGUGCCGAGAUACGAGCGCGCGUGGGGCACGCGUGGAGCCUGUCAACACGCGUGACAACUGGCCUUCUUUGUUCACCAUCGCGUUCACCGUUCCUCGGCAGGAGCGCCGAGUGCGCAGAAGCGAUCGCCGCGGACUGCACAGGUCGCUCAGACCUGCGACUCACGAUGGCGAACGCCUUCCUCUUCCUUCGUCAGAUCUGGAGGACGUAAACAAAGCGCGGGAGACGAUUGGCUGAGGAGGGCGACCUGUCUGGCCCAGGUACCAGGUACUACAUCGCCCGUCUCUCGCCUCAGGUGUACACGGCUUCCGGUUUCAACGCUUCCAGGCGCAACCGAGCACCGCUGUGCGCGAGGCUGUAAUAGGGAUCACCAUUCCGCAGGCUGCGCUACUUCUGUCGGAUAAGCUUACUGGAUGGAGCACCGUUCGUGCGGAAAAUUAUUAAACCGAUUAUUUUACCAAUUAUUUCAACCUGUCGCUCCCGCCACAACCGGGUAGCUAUGUAGUUGAGAUUAUAGAGUAAAAUAUUACGGCAUCUAUAUUUUAAUAUCUGCGAAUAUAUGUAUUAGUUCCCUUUAGUUUUAUACGUACGGAUGAUUAUCAAGACUUUAGACAGCACACGUAUCUGGGUGUAUAUUUAAAACUUUUCGAGAGGUAAAAUAAGGUACCUUUCAUUCGUGGCAAUUUGAGAAUUAUUACAAAUAUCAUAAGAAUUUGGAAAGUUAUUUUUCUUGAAAUGUUUCCGGUGAACUUACUGAUCAAAAGGAUUUUUCAUUGUGUACAGUAACUUUGCAACAGCAAUGCAAGUUAAUACACGCACUGUAAAGUUACUGUACAAAGCAAUGAUAUGCAAUGACAAAGUAGUCAAAGAAUUUAAAAAAAUUUGUAAAACGUAAACAUUUUUUCGUGAAUUGUUUACUUGUUAGGUAACAGAGAUGCAAAUAAAUAUUUUUGUACAAAUGAUCUGAGAAUUAAAGGAUUCAAAUAUUGCUGCGCGAUAACAAAUCUUAUGAAAGAUCAGGAAUUUCAGGAUUAAAUUCAAAGUUUAAUUCAAAGUUACGAUUUUCCGUAACAAAGUAAAACUACUUUUGAAAUGGUGUCUGACCGACAAAAGGUUUUUUCUAUGUCCGUUUUAAAUAAUCUGUAAUUUGUAUUAGAAUUCAGAAUAAAACGCUUUCUAUAAUUCCAUGUGCCGCAUAUGACACGGAAAACAUAUUAAGAAUUGGAAAUAUGUAUGUAAACUGUAUAUUAAGAAGAUACACACAUAUAUGUGUGUGUGUGUGUUAAAAUGCGUACAUGAAAUUAAAAAUGCAAUUCUAUGCCGAAUUCUAAAAUGUAGGUCGUCUAAAAUGGACGACAGUAGCAUAAGAAAAUUGCAAUUUAUAUUGCUCAUAUCAUUCAUACACUGUGUACGGGACAAUAUAUUAUACGUAGCAUAUAAUUAUGAAUGCAAGUUAAUCCGGAUAUUAUCAUAUCCCUCGACAAGUAUCGUUGAAAUUGAUUGAAGUUGCAAUAGGCACAUUUCAAUAUCCUGAACAAUUUAUCAUGCUUAAUUUCAUGUAUGUACAUAUACAAUAUAAUUGUGAAAGAGAUUUAGGUGGAUUCGUUGAAAUAAUAUAGUCAAAAAUAAAAAAAAUAAAAUGUGACCCUUUUUUUAAAUUCGAAGAAAGAAUCAAUUCAUUUCCAAUAGUUUAUGAAGAAAAUUUGAUGCCGAACACAAUUCCUGUUCCCAAAAGGUUCUAUUUGAAUUUUGAGAGAAAAUUGAGAUUAAAAUUAAUAUAACCAGAGAAUAUUUCCAUACAUUUCACAGCGCAAUAUCUGCUGUGCUAUAUGAUACGUGUUGAAAAAAAAUUGAUUUUAUUUAAAACUAAAAAAUGCAUUUUUAAAGCUUUAUAAAAAAAGAAUUUUGUAAAGAUUAAGAUUAAUACAGCAGAUUUUUUCGCGACUAAAUAGUGGGUCUGUUACAUUAUGAAAAAUUGUAAUUAAAUUAUUGAAAGUUAAGAGCAAUAGUUUUCUCUCGAUUACUCAUUCACUACAAGAAUUACUCAGGUUAUUGAAUUCCAAGUUCAUAUAAAAGUAAUGUAUUCAGAAGUAAUAAAAUUAGUACGGUGAAGAUAAAAAUUAAUUUCUUUCUAAAGAUUUGUUACUUUUCAGAAUAUAAAUCCAAUGAUAAAAUGGACGAAUACAAUAGCAGAUCUAAUAUUCAAUAGAUUGCUCGUAGUCCUUGAUAGCUUAAUUUGCAACUUUCCCCUCGGUGUACCUAAUAGAUCCAAUAUUUGAUCACGAAAAUCUUAUUACCUCUAGCCUUCGUAACAAAUUCCUUUUGAAGGUUGAAAGUUCUAAGUUCAUAUUUAGUUUCGCCUGAAAUAUAUACACGCGCGUGCUGUGCGGAUGUUUUCUUGAGAGAGGGAGAUAUAUAAUAUAUACAUAUAUAUAUCAAGAAAAUUUUAGAAACUCCAUAGAAGCCUGUUACAUUCGAUAUUUCACACAAGUAAAAUUCUAUAUCGUCUCUAUUGCACGAUGUUCAAUAGAAAAGUUCUAAAGAAACGAAAGAAUAAUUAUUCCCCUUGCAGUUUCCUUGACUCUUAAUAUUAUUCUAUUUUUAUGCUUCAUCGCGUUUUAAUUCUGAGAAAUUUGAGAUGAUUAAGUUAUAAAUACAAAGCAAAAUAUAUGAUCUAAUAAUAUAAUUAUAAUUGCAGACUUAAUGAAAGAUUAUUAUAAAAAGUU
Long non-coding RNA from Vollenhovia emeryi, 3682 nucleotides. RefSeq lists it as uncharacterized. The record is from RefSeq and is a predicted model, not a curated record. NCBI's taxonomy places the organism in Eukaryota, Metazoa, Arthropoda, Insecta, Hymenoptera, Formicidae. The transcript has 3 exons.